Molecule: ribosomal RNA, 578 nt
Filed under: uncultured bacterium
Lineage: Bacteria
Description: bacterial SSU rRNA
Rfam family: Bacterial small subunit ribosomal RNA
Source: RNAcentral
AAUCAACGCUGGCGGCGUGCCUAACACAUGCAAGUCGAACGAGAAAGUGGAGCAAUCCACAAGUAAAGUGGCGCACGGGUGAGUAACACGUGACUAACCUACCCUGGAGUGGGGGAUAACUGAGGGAAACCUUAGCUAAUACCGCAUAAUACCUACGGGUCAAAGGAGCAAUUCGCUUUGGGAGGGGGUCGCGGCCGAUUAGUUAGUUGGCGGGGUAAUGGCCCACCAAGACAGUGAUCGGUAUCCGGCCUGAGAGGGCGCACGGACACACUGGAACUGAAACACGGUCCAGACUCCUACGGGAGGCAGCAGUGGGGAAUUUUGCGCAAUGGGGGAAACCCUGACGCAGCAACGCCGCGUGGAGGAUGAAGUACUUCGGUACGUAAACUCCUUUCGAUCGGGACGAUAAUGACGGUACCGGAAGAAGAAGCCCCGGCUAACUUCGUGCCAGCAGCCGCGGUAAUACGGAGGGUGCAAGCGUUAUCCGGAUUCACUGGGUUUAAAGGGUGCGUAGGUGGGCAGGUAAGUCUGUGGUGAAAUCUCCGGGCUUAACCCGGAAACUGCCGUUGAUACUAUCU